CAGCCGCCACUAUUUAAAGCAAUUGUCCUAGGUCUCUUUUUCCACUUUCUUCUUCCCUGUUCCCGCUGCCUGGAUAAACCAUUCCCCAGGCCCUUCUCGGCUGGCCGGUGCCCACUCUACUCUCCCAGACCCAGCUCAGGGAUGGAUGUGUCUCAGCCGGACUUCAGGCCGCAUCCAGAAGCCCCCAGAAGAACCAUCUAUUUGCAGCCGAUGAAAAGAGCACGGAGGAGUGAUUGUUGCGACAAAUCAGUUUAUUCGUCUCAAAUGGACCCUCGGAGGUUUCCAAGAGGAACAAUUAAAAUUGUUGCUGCCAGAAGGAAGUGACUGCUUCCAAGCCCAGUGUGUUGUAUGGUCUAGAAUACAAUUUAUACUGACAAAGCUUCCACGUGGACUAGAGAAGGUAUUCUGCUGUUGCUGGAUGGAGGGGUCUAUAUACAUCAGCAAGGUUUACAUUCUUACAUCUACGCAGAUAUGCUUUCAGACUCCACCUGCACCACGGGAUAUACUGGGUCUCCUCCCAUUGGCUUGCACUGCAGGUCUGACUUGCCAGUCUCCAUAAUUCCUUGUAACAAUUCUCUUUGUUGCUAAAUAAACACCA
Molecule: long non-coding RNA, 598 nt
Organism: Hyaena hyaena (striped hyena)
Lineage: Eukaryota; Metazoa; Chordata; Mammalia; Carnivora; Hyaenidae
Exons: 4
Source: RefSeq, a predicted model, not a curated record